Molecule: ribosomal RNA, 465 nt
Filed under: Vreelandella stevensii
Lineage: Bacteria; Pseudomonadati; Pseudomonadota; Gammaproteobacteria; Oceanospirillales; Halomonadaceae
Description: partial 16S ribosomal RNA
Rfam family: Bacterial small subunit ribosomal RNA
Source: RNAcentral
CCUAGGGGGUGCUGCAGUGGGGAAUAUUGGACAAUGGGCGAAAGCCUGAUCCAGCCAUGCCGCGUGUGUGAAGAAGGCCUUCGGGUUGUAAAGCACUUUCAGUGGGGAAGAAAGCCUUGGGGCUAAUACCCUCGAGGAAGGACAUCACCCACAGAAGAAGCACCGGCUAACUCCGUGCCAGCAGCCGCGGUAAUACGGAGGGUGCGAGCGUUAAUCGGAAUUACUGGGCGUAAAGCGCGCGUAGGCGGUCUGAUAAGCCGGUUGUGAAAGCCCCGGGCUCAACCUGGGAACGGCAUCCGGAACUGUCAGGCUAGAGUGCAGGAGAGGAAGGUAGAAUUCCCGGUGUAGCGGUGAAAUGCGUAGAGAUCGGGAGGAAUACCAGUGGCGAAGGCGGCCUUCUGGACUGACACUGACGCUGAGGUGCGAAAGCGUGGGUAGCAAACAGGAUUAGAUACCCUAGUAGUC